Molecule: small nuclear RNA, 114 nt
Filed under: Suricata suricatta (meerkat)
Lineage: Eukaryota; Metazoa; Chordata; Mammalia; Carnivora; Herpestidae
Source: RNAcentral
UGCUCGCUUCGGGAGCGCGUAUACUAAAUUGGAACGAUCCGGAGAAGAUUUGCAGGAUUAGCACAGCCCCUGCGCCAGGAGGCCGUGCAAAUCCAUGAAGCGUUCCAUCGUUUU